This 253-nucleotide ribosomal RNA is filed under the name uncultured bacterium. Its description in RNAcentral is "partial 16S ribosomal RNA". It matches the Rfam family "Bacterial small subunit ribosomal RNA", at positions 524 to 776 of the family's 1533-position model. The record is from RNAcentral.
UACGGGGGGGGCAAGCGUUGUUCGGAAUUAUUGGGCGUAAAGAGCUCGUAGGCGGCUUGUCACGUCGGGUGUGAAAGCCCGGGGCUUAACCCCGGGUCUGCAUUCGAUACGGGCUAGCUAGAGUGUGGUAGGGGAGAUCGGAAUUCCUGGUGUAGCGGUGAAAUGCGCAGAUAUCAGGAGGAACACCGGUGGCGAAGGCGGAUCUCUGGGCCAUUACUGACGCUGAGGAGCGAAAGCCAGGGGAGCAAACGGG